ACUAAAAUGGCUGAACAUUAGGUGAUAAAUUGUAAAUUUAUUUAUGAAUAUAAUAAUUCUUUUAGUA
This 67-nucleotide transfer RNA is filed under the name Idioscopus sp. 'myrica'. Its description in RNAcentral is "tRNA-Tyr". The record is from RNAcentral. Lineage: Eukaryota; Metazoa; Arthropoda; Insecta; Hemiptera; Cicadellidae.